This 2900-nucleotide ribosomal RNA is filed under the name Klebsiella pneumoniae. Its description in RNAcentral is "23S ribosomal RNA". It matches the Rfam family "Bacterial large subunit ribosomal RNA". The record is from RNAcentral. Lineage: Bacteria; Pseudomonadati; Pseudomonadota; Gammaproteobacteria; Enterobacterales; Enterobacteriaceae.
UUAAGCGACUAAGCGUACACGGUGGAUGCCCUGGCAGUCAGAGGCGAUGAAGGACGUGCUAAUCUGCGAAAAGCGUCGGUAAGGUGAUAUGAACCGUUAUAACCGGCGAUGUCCGAAUGGGGAAACCCAGUGCAAUUCGUUGCACUAUCGUUAACUGAAUACAUAGGUUAACGAGGCGAACCGGGGGAACUGAAACAUCUAAGUACCCCGAGGAAAAGAAAUCAACCGAGAUUCCCCCAGUAGCGGCGAGCGAACGGGGAGCAGCCCAGAGUCUGAAUCAGCUUGUGUGUUAGUGGAACGGUCUGGAAAGUCCGACGGUACAGGGUGAUAGUCCCGUACACCAAAAUGCACAGGCUGUGAACUCGAAGAGUAGGGCGGGACACGUGGUAUCCUGUCUGAAUAUGGGGGGACCAUCCUCCAAGGCUAAAUACUCCUGACUGACCGAUAGUGAACCAGUACCGUGAGGGAAAGGCGAAAAGAACCCCGGCGAGGGGAGUGAAAAAGAACCUGAAACCGUGUACGUACAAGCAGUGGGAGCACCUUCGGGUGUGACUGCGUACCUUUUGUAUAAUGGGUCAGCGACUUAUAUUCUGUAGCAAGGUUAACCGUAUAGGGGAGCCGCAGGGAAACCGAGUCUUAACUGGGCGUUAAGUUGCAGGGUAUAGACCCGAAACCCGGUGAUCUAGCCAUGGGCAGGUUGAAGGUUGGGUAACACUAACUGGAGGACCGAACCGACUAAUGUUGAAAAAUUAGCGGAUGACUUGUGGCUGGGGGUGAAAGGCCAAUCAAACCGGGAGAUAGCUGGUUCUCCCCGAAAGCUAUUUAGGUAGCGCCUCGUGAAUUCAUCUUCGGGGGUAGAGCACUGUUUCGGCUAGGGGGUCAUCCCGACUUACCAACCCGAUGCAAACUACGAAUACCGAAGAAUGUUAUCACGGGAGACACACGGCGGGUGCUAACGUCCGUCGUGAAGAGGGAAACAACCCAGACCGCCAGCUAAGGUCCCAAAGUCAUGGUUAAGUGGGAAACGAUGUGGGAAGGCACAGACAGCCAGGAUGUUGGCUUAGAAGCAGCCAUCAUUUAAAGAAAGCGUAAUAGCUCACUGGUCGAGUCGGCCUGCGCGGAAGAUGUAACGGGGCUAAACCAUGCACCGAAGCUGCGGCAGCGACACUAUGUGUUGUUGGGUAGGGGAGCGUUCUGUAAGCCUGCGAAGGUGUGCUGUGAGGCAUGCUGGAGGUAUCAGAAGUGCGAAUGCUGACAUAAGUAACGAUAAAGCGGGUGAAAAGCCCGCUCGCCGGAAGACCAAGGGUUCCUGUCCAACGUUAAUCGGGGCAGGGUGAGUCGACCCCUAAGGCGAGGCCGAAAGGCGUAGUCGAUGGGAAACAGGUUAAUAUUCCUGUACUUGGUGUUACUGCGAAGGGGGGACGGAGAAGGCUAUGUUAGCCGGGCGACGGUUGUCCCGGUUUAAGCAUGUAGGCUGGUUAUCCAGGCAAAUCCGGAUAAUCAAGGCUGAGGUGUGAUGACGAGGCACUACGGUGCUGAAGUAACAAAUGCCCUGCUUCCAGGAAAAGCCUCUAAGCAUCAGGUAACAUCAAAUCGUACCCCAAACCGACACAGGUGGUCAGGUAGAGAAUACCAAGGCGCUUGAGAGAACUCGGGUGAAGGAACUAGGCAAAAUGGUGCCGUAACUUCGGGAGAAGGCACGCUGGUGUGUAGGUGAAGUCCCUGCGGAUGGAGCUGAGACCAGUCGAAGAUACCAGCUGGCUGCAACUGUUUAUUAAAAACACAGCACUGUGCAAACACGAAAGUGGACGUAUACGGUGUGACGCCUGCCCGGUGCCGGAAGGUUAAUUGAUGGGGUUAUCCGUAAGGAGAAGCUCUUGAUCGAAGCCCCGGUAAACGGCGGCCGUAACUAUAACGGUCCUAAGGUAGCGAAAUUCCUUGUCGGGUAAGUUCCGACCUGCACGAAUGGCGUAAUGAUGGCCAGGCUGUCUCCACCCGAGACUCAGUGAAAUUGAACUCGCUGUGAAGAUGCAGUGUACCCGCGGCAAGACGGAAAGACCCCGUGAACCUUUACUAUAGCUUGACACUGAACAUUGAGCCUUGAUGUGUAGGAUAGGUGGGAGGCUUUGAAGCGUGGACGCCAGUCUGCGUGGAGCCAACCUUGAAAUACCACCCUUUAAUGUUUGAUGUUCUAACGUUGGCCCCUGACCGGGGUUGCGGACAGUGUCUGGUGGGUAGUUUGACUGGGGCGGUCUCCUCCCAAAGCGUAACGGAGGAGCACGAAGGUUAGCUAAUCCUGGUCGGACAUCAGGAGGUUAGUGCAAUGGCAUAAGCUAGCUUGACUGCGAGCGUGACGGCGCGAGCAGGUGCGAAAGCAGGUCAUAGUGAUCCGGUGGUUCUGAAUGGAAGGGCCAUCGCUCAACGGAUAAAAGGUACUCCGGGGAUAACAGGCUGAUACCGCCCAAGAGUUCAUAUCGACGGCGGUGUUUGGCACCUCGAUGUCGGCUCAUCACAUCCUGGGGCUGAAGUAGGUCCCAAGGGUAUGGCUGUUCGCCAUUUAAAGUGGUACGCGAGCUGGGUUUAGAACGUCGUGAGACAGUUCGGUCCCUAUCUGCCGUGGGCGCUGGAGAAUUGAGGGGGGCUGCUCCUAGUACGAGAGGACCGGAGUGGACGCAUCACUGGUGUUCGGGUUGUCAUGCCAAUGGCACUGCCCGGUAGCUAAAUGCGGAAGAGAUAAGUGCUGAAAGCAUCUAAGCACGAAACUUGCCCCGAGAUGAGUUCUCCCUGAGACUAUAAGUCUCCUGAAGGAACGUUGAAGACGACGACGUUGAUAGGCCGGGUGUGUAAGCGCAGCGAUGCGUUGAGCUAACCGGUACUAAUGAACCGUGAGGCUUAACCUU